RNAcentral lists this unclassified non-coding RNA (533 nucleotides) under Hevea brasiliensis (rubber tree). Lineage: Eukaryota; Viridiplantae; Streptophyta; Magnoliopsida; Malpighiales; Euphorbiaceae. The record is from RNAcentral.
UUAAGAAACUGCCCAGUUUGACGUUCAUAUAUCUGUAUCAUUUUGGGAGGAAAAUCCAGCACUACCUCCAAUAGAAAAAAAGGGGUUAGAGUUGGAAUUUUUUGUAUAAUUUUCUUUGAAAUAGUUUACUUAAAUGCAUUAAUUACUAGAGUCCCCAGAAAAUCAUUCCAAAUCUUUGUAUUUUUCAUUUGGAAUUACUAGAGGGAUUUUAUGAAGUCACUUUCCAUUUCACUAACAGCAAACACAUGCAAAAUACCUUCUUAUGUCCUUUUCAAUUUAUUCAGUAACAACUGUGCUCAUUUUAUUUGUAGGUGUAUUUCACAGUUUAUGAGCAACUCAAAGGCAUCCUUCUUUCACAUGGUUGGUACUUUGCAGUGUUGCAUUUUUCAGAAUUAUGCUUUGGUCUUCUUUUGAGUUCCUAUACAAACCUGGUUCUAUUAAGUUUCUUUCUAAGAUACAAAGGAUACUGUAUUAUUGGAUUGCUUCAAUAGACUUUGUUUUCUGAAUUGUAUUUUUUAUUUUUUAUUUUUUAU